RNAcentral lists this ribosomal RNA (1724 nucleotides) under Proteus mirabilis. Its description in RNAcentral is "partial 23S ribosomal RNA". It matches the Rfam family "Bacterial large subunit ribosomal RNA", at positions 1223 to 2925 of the family's 2925-position model. The record is from RNAcentral. Lineage: Bacteria; Pseudomonadati; Pseudomonadota; Gammaproteobacteria; Enterobacterales; Morganellaceae.
GUUGGGUAGGGGAGCGUUCUGUAAGCCUGCGAAGGUGUACUGUGAGGUAUGCUGGAGGUAUCAGAAGUGCGAAUGCUGACAUAAGUAACGAUAAUGCGGGUGAAAAACCCGCACGCCGGAAGACCAAGGGUUCCUGUCCAACGUUAAUCGGGGCAGGGUGAGUCGACCCCUAAGGCGAGGCUGAAAAGCGUAGUCGAUGGGAAACGGGUUAAUAUUCCCGUACUGGUGGUAACUGCGAUGGGGGAACGGAGAAGGCUAGGUUGUCCGGGCGACGGUCGUCCCGGUUCAAGCAGGUAGGCAGAGUGAUUAGGCAAAUCCGGUCACUUAAUGCUGAGAUGUGAUGACGAACCACUAAGGUGGUGAAGCAAUUGAUGCCCCGCUUCCAGGAAAAGCCUCUAAGCUUCAGGUUACCAACAAUCGUACCCCAAACCGACACAGGUGGUCAGGUAGAGAAUACUCAGGCGCUUGAGAGAACUCGGGUGAAGGAACUAGGCAAAAUGGUGCCGUAACUUCGGGAGAAGGCACGCUGGCGGUAGGUAAAGUCCCUCGCGGACGGCGCUGAAGCCAGUCGAAGAUACCAGCUGGCUGCAACUGUUUAUUAAAAACACAGCACUGUGCAAACACGAAAGUGGACGUAUACGGUGUGACGCCUGCCCGGUGCUGGAAGGUUAAUUGAUGGGGUCAGCCGUAAGGCGAAGCUCCUGAUCGAAGCCCCAGUAAACGGCGGCCGUAACUAUAACGGUCCUAAGGUAGCGAAAUUCCUUGUCGGGUAAGUUCCGACCUGCACGAAUGGCGUAAUGAUGGCCAGGCUGUCUCCACCCGAGACUCAGUGAAAUUGAACUCGCUGUGAAGAUGCAGUGUACCCGCGGCAAGACGGAAAGACCCCGUGAACCUUUACUAUAGCUUGACACUGAACAUUGAGCCUUGAUGUGUAGGAUAGGUGGGAGGCUUUGAAGUGUGGACGCCAGUCUGCAUGGAGCCAACCUUGAAAUACCACCCUUUAACGUUUGAUGUUCUAACCUAGGCCCAUAAACUGGGUCGGGGACCGUGUCUGGUGGGUAGUUUGACUGGGGCGGUCUCCUCCUAAAGAGUAACGGAGGAGCACGAAGGUUGGCUAAGCAUGGUCGGACAUCAUGCGGUUAGUGCAAAGGCAUAAGCCAGCUUGACUGCGAGAGUGACGGCUCGAGCAGGUACGAAAGUAGGUCUUAGUGAUCCGGUGGUUCUGAAUGGAAGGGCCAUCGCUCAACGGAUAAAAGGUACUCCGGGGAUAACAGGCUGAUACCGCCCAAGAGUUCAUAUCGACGGCGGUGUUUGGCACCUCGAUGUCGGCUCAUCACAUCCUGGGGCUGAAGUAGGUCCCAAGGGUAUGGCUGUUCGCCAUUUAAAGUGGUACGCGAGCUGGGUUUAGAACGUCGUGAGACAGUUCGGUCCCUAUCUGCCGUGGGCGUUGGAAGAUUGAGAGGGGUUGCUCCUAGUACGAGAGGACCGGAGUGAACGCACCACUGGUGUUCGGGUUGUCAUGCCAAUGGCAUUGCCCGGUAGCUAAGUGCGGAAGAGAUAACCGCUGAAAGCAUCUAAGCGGGAAACUUGCCUCGAGAUGAGUCUUCCCUGUCGCUUUAAGUGACCUAAAGGAACGUUUAAGACUAAGACGUUGAUAGGCUGGGUGUGUAAGCGUAGCGAUACGUUGAGCUAACCAGUACUAAUGAACCGUGAGGCUUAACCUG